This is a long non-coding RNA of Rhododendron vialii, 2610 nucleotides long. RefSeq lists it as uncharacterized. The transcript is spliced from 6 exons. NCBI's taxonomy places the organism in Eukaryota, Viridiplantae, Streptophyta, Magnoliopsida, Ericales, Ericaceae. The record is from RefSeq and is a predicted model, not a curated record.
GGAUUGGGGUCGGACAGGGAGAUCUCUCUCUAUAUAUAUGCGUAUGCUUAACAAUUUUGUGUAUGCCAGAGAUCUGACGCUAUGGAGAAUAGGGGAAACUACUACAACAGAGUUACAAAAAGGAAGGACUUUAUUUAUAAUCAGGGGAUGGCGGGACAUGCAGCAGAAAAUGAGCAAAAGCAACAAUUAACUGCAAUUGGCGGCGAGAGAACAAAGCAUAGGUCACUCAAUAAAGUGGCAAAAUUGAAGCAUCAUCCUGCCCCUUGUUCUGGGCAAAACAAGAAGGAGAUUUGCGGAGAGGAUUGGAUUAGUCAAUUGCCAGAGGACAUCCUGGUUGCCAUUCUUUCUCUUUUGACACAUAAGGAAGCAGGAAGAACUAGUGUCCUCUCACGUAAAUGGAGAUACUUGUGAACAUUUAUCACUCGUAGGUUGGAAUUUGAUGCUUGGGAAUAUUCCAGGGGUGUGCGAAUGGAUGAUGUAAGGAUCCGAAGUUCUGCAUAUGCAAGGUGGGUUAAUCAGGUUUUGAAACUACACCAGGGUCCAUUUGUAGACAAGUUUAUAAUUCGUCAUCGGUUGAAACCUAGUUAUUAUCAUCAUGUCGAUAGCUGGAUUAAGUUUGCAUUUGAAAAGGGAGUUAAAACCUUUGAAUUGGACUUGAAAGACGUUGGAGGAUGGCGCAGAAUGUAUACAUUUCCAAGCUUGGAAAAGUUCCUGUCAAGUUCAAAUACUGUACAAGACAUGCAGUCGUAUGGCUGCAUGACCCGGGCUGUUGAUUCUGUUGGCUUUUCUUCCCUUACAACCCUCCGUCUCAUAUAUGUUAAUGUCACCGAUGAGGUUAUUGAGAACUUUCUGGCCAAUUGUCCUCUUCUGGAAGAAUUGCAUGUCACGUUGUCAAAUCAGCUUCAGAAUCUAAAAGUUGUUGGUGUAUCACUCAAAUUGAAGUCCUUGGAGAUCUACCAAUGCAUAUGUUUGAGAGUUUUGGAAAUUUGUGCUGUAAAUCUCGUGUCAAUUUCAUAUAAUGGGCAAUGCAUACAUCUUUGCUUACAAAUGCUCCUGCUCUUGCAAAGUUCUCCAUCGAUGGCAGUUAUUGUGAAUCUUUAAUGUACAAAGAUCACCUGGAUUCGAGCUGUCUACAACAGCUAGAGAGGCUCGAGAUGAAAUUCUAUUCCAAGGUUUCUAUAGCCUUUAGAAGUUUUCCCCGAGAAUUUCCACAAUUAUGCCGACUGUAGCAGUUGGAAUUGCAAACGCAUGCCAUACUUGGAGUUAGCCUUGUCAACUACACUUGCUUGAUUAAGGCAUGCCCUUCAUUAUCGAGAUUUGCAAUGCGAGUUGAGUACUCUUACCUCGGAGUUAACUUUCGUAACUUUCGGAUCUGUUUUUUAUGGUUUCAUUUCGUAAACUAGGAUUUAAUUUAUUUCUUGGGCAAAGCUACACAUUUCACGUUUGUAUUAGGAGACUACUUUUCCAAGUGAUUACCAAGGUGAAAUUUUUAUGUUGUCAAGUCAUAAUGAUUGUCCCUUUAUAUACAAAGAAUCCUUAAAGAGACAUUUAUCACUACAAAGUUUGUUGCUGUGUAAUUCCUGUAGAUGCUAAAGAGUUUGGCAGAUUUUCUGUGGAAGGGGAUCAUAAUGAUUUCGGGAUACUUCACUGAAGGGACUCGCAAAAUUGGUUUAUUGCUAGCUUUUUUAAAAAUAAGAAAGUAUCAGGUGCAUGUUACCAUGCGGGAAAGGGAUUAUGGAUGGAGGUAGUUUGGUUAGCUAAUGCAGAUGUGAAGUAUUUGAUGAGGGAUUUUAGGGACCAUGGGCUCAUCUCUCUUCCUUGUAUGGCAUUUGGGCUCUUAAACCCCUAGGCAUCUUGUAAUAUAUAAGUGUUUGACACAUGAAGAUAUUCUACUAGUAAAAAUUUGAUUGAAAGGCUUUGGGCUUUGGACUAAAUGGAUUACUUAGCUCGCUCUUUAUUCAGCUCGGGUUACUUGUGUCAUGCAAAUCUUUGUCUUAGUGUUAAACUUCAUUUUGUACACUUAAACAUCACAACGAUCUUUCUAGUUGCAAAAAAUUCCUUCUGAUUCGAUUACCUUCUUUCUGGCAGUAUACGUGGGGAUAGUCUUACAAGUUCAAGAAGUCAUCAUCAUCAAAAUCAUGGUUAUCGUCGUCGUCAUCAUCAUCAUCGGACGAGAAGCCGUACGAGCCCAAGUUCAAUGUAGUUGAACAUGCACGGGCACAGGCAUCUUCUAGAUUUCAGCACCAAUGCCUUAAAGUGGUGGAGUUGGUUGGCUUUAUUGGGCAUGCCAAGGACCUUGAGCUUGCUUCACACUUGCUUGAGAUUGCUGUCUCCCUUGAUAAAUUGGUAAUUUACCUUGACCACCCAGACUGGAUCAUGAAAAUUGAGGCUUUAGAAAGUGGUAGAAAGUGUGCUAGGCUGUUGGAAGCAAAACUACCACCAGGAGCUAGUUUAGUGGUACUCUGAAUAGUAAUUAUUAAGUAAUGAAGACUUGUUUGUUUUAAUUUCGUUUAUUUAUUUAUUUUUUUUGUCUGGUUGGAGUCUUGUAAUAUGGAAUGAAUCGUGAGACAAGUUUUUGGACCUGGGUAAAGGAGAAGCUGAGUUCUCUAA